Molecule: ribosomal RNA, 468 nt
Filed under: uncultured bacterium
Lineage: Bacteria
Description: partial 16S ribosomal RNA
Rfam family: Bacterial small subunit ribosomal RNA
Source: RNAcentral
GAUGAACGCUGGCGGCGUGCUUAACACAUGCAAGUCGAACGGAAAGGCCCAAGCUUGCUUGGGUACUCGAGUGGCGAACGGGUGAGUAACACGUGGGUGAUCUGCCCUGCACUUCGGGAUAAGCCUGGGAAACUGGGUCUAAUACCGGAUAGGACGAUGGUUUGGAUGCCAUUGUGGAAAGUUUUUUCGGUGUGGGAUGAGCUCGCGGCCUAUCAGCUUGUUGGUGGGGUAAUGGCCUACCAAGGCGUCGACGGGUAGCCGGCCUGAGAGGGUGUACGGCCACAUUGGGCCUGAGAUACGGCCCAGACUCCUACGGGAGGCAGCAGUGGGGAAUAUUGCACAAUGGGCGCAAGCCUGAUGCAGCGACGCCGCGUGGGGGAUGACGGCCUUCGGGUUGUAAACUCCUUUCGCUAGGGACGAAGCGUUUUUGUGACGGUACCUGGAGAAGAAGCACCGGCUAACUACGUG